CCUACGGGAGGCAGCAGUGGGGAAUAUUGCACAAUGGGCGAAAGCCUGAUGCAGCGACGCCGCGUGAGGGACGACGGCCUUCGGGUUGUAAACCUCUUUCAGCAGGGACGAAGCGCAAGUGACGGUACCUGCAGAAGAAGCACCGGCUAACUACGUGCCAGCAGCCGCGGUAAUACGUAGGGUGCAAGCGUUGUCCGGAAUUACUGGGCGUAAAGAGUUCGUAGGCGGUUUGUCACGUCGUUUGUGAAAACUCACAGCUCAACUGUGAGCCUGCAGGCGAUACGGGCAGACUUGAGUACUGCAGGGGAGACUGGAAUUCCUGGUGUAGCGGUGAAAUGCGCAGAUAUCAGGAGGAACACCGGUGGCGAAGGCGGGUCUCUGGGCAGUAACUGACGCUGAGGAACGAAAGCGUGGGUAGCAAACAGGAUUAGAUACCCUGGUAGUCCACGCCGUAAACGGUGGGCGCUAGGUGUGGGUUCCUUCCACGGAAUCCGUGCCGUAGCUAACGCAUUAAGCGCCCGCUGGGGNGCGCGCGAGACAACUAACGAAGAGUAGCGNGNGAGAGCGACGACGACGACGACGGAGGAGAG
Molecule: ribosomal RNA, 590 nt
Filed under: uncultured bacterium
Lineage: Bacteria
Description: bacterial SSU rRNA
Rfam family: Bacterial small subunit ribosomal RNA (bases 1-523)
Source: RNAcentral